Long non-coding RNA from Prunus dulcis (almond), 524 nucleotides. RefSeq lists it as uncharacterized. NCBI's taxonomy places the organism in Eukaryota, Viridiplantae, Streptophyta, Magnoliopsida, Rosales, Rosaceae. The record is from RefSeq and is a predicted model, not a curated record. The transcript is spliced from 3 exons.
CCAUAUCUUUAAGGUUUUACUCCUUACUCAUUCAAGCAUGUGGAUGUAUGUUUUUCUUUUGUAAAAUUUCAUUUUUUGUUUUUAAAUGGAAACAAAAUGAACAAAAAUAAGUUUCCAAAGGCAAAUAGCAUAGCAUGCUCACCGAAUCGAGGUCGUCACGAGAAAACUGAAGACAAAGCUGGCGACUCUGCCUAAGCGAGGUCCUCAACUCUUCUCUCUGCUUGCCCAAAACUGAUAUGCAGAGAGGUAAUCGUUGCGAAAUUGAUGAUGGGUCCAGCCUCCAUGAUGUAGUGGUCACCAAAUUGAGUGGAAUUUAGUUUGAUUUGUUGGAAUUGUGUGAACGACGACAUUUGAGUUGGUGGAGAAAGGAAGUGUAAAGAGGAUGCGUUGAAAAUUUGGAAACAUCAAGGGAUUCUUUUGGCAGAGGAGUUGAAGGGUUAGAAGCAGUUAGGUGCACAAAUGGCAAGGAAGGUGCACAUCACUGCAUUGGUUACUGAAAAGGAGUAUGGAUACAUGUGAAAAAA